RNAcentral lists this ribosomal RNA (471 nucleotides) under uncultured bacterium. Its description in RNAcentral is "SSU rRNA". It matches the Rfam family "Bacterial small subunit ribosomal RNA", at positions 26 to 518 of the family's 1533-position model. The record is from RNAcentral.
AGGACGAACGCUGGCGGCGUGCUUAACACAUGCAAGUCGAACGCUCUUGGGGCUUCGGUCUCAGGGGAGUGGCGCACGGGUGAGUAGCGCGUGGGAACCUGCCCUGUUGUGGGGGAUAACCGAGGGAAACUUCGGCUAAUACCGCAUAAGCCGGUUGUCUUGAAGGAGAUGGCCGGGAAAGAUUUAUCGCGACAGGAGGGGCCCGCGUCGGAUUAGCUAGUUGGUGGGGUAACGGCCCACCAAGGCGGUGAUCCGUAGCUGGUCUGAGAGGAUGAUCAGCCACACUGGGACUGAGACACGGCCCAGACUCCUACGGGAGGCAGCAGUGGGGAAUAUUGGACAAUGGGCGCAAGCCUGAUCCAGCAAUGCCGCGUGAGUGAUGAAGGCCUUCGGGUUGUAAAGCUCUUUCGCCCGCGACGAUGAUGACGGUAGCGGGAGAAGAAGCCCGGCUAACUUCGUGCCAGCAGCCGC